RNAcentral lists this ribosomal RNA (295 nucleotides) under uncultured bacterium. Its description in RNAcentral is "partial 16S ribosomal RNA". It matches the Rfam family "Bacterial small subunit ribosomal RNA", at positions 338 to 630 of the family's 1533-position model. The record is from RNAcentral.
CCUACGGGAGGCAGCAGUGAGGAAUAUUGGUCAAUGGGCGCGAGCCUGAACCAGCCAAGUCGCGUGAGGGAUGACGGCCCUACGGGUUGUAAACCUCUUUUGUCGGGGAGCAAAUUCCGUUACGUGUAACGGAGUCGAGAGUACCCGAAGAAAAAGCAUCGGCUAACUCCGUGCCAGCAGCCGCGGUAAUACGGAGGAUGCGAGCGUUAUCCGGAUUCAUUGGGUUUAAAGGGUGCGCAGGCGGGCCUUUAAGCCGGCGGUGAAAUCGCGGGGCUCAACCCCCCCGGGCCGUCGG